Molecule: ribosomal RNA, 253 nt
Filed under: uncultured bacterium
Lineage: Bacteria
Description: partial 16S ribosomal RNA
Rfam family: Bacterial small subunit ribosomal RNA
Source: RNAcentral
UACGUAGGGGGCAAGCGUUGUCCGGAUUUACUGGGUGUAAAGGGAGCGUAGACGGCAUGGCAAGUCAGAUGUGAAAGCCCGGGGCUCAACCCCGGGACUGCAUUUGAAACUGUCAGGCUGGAGUGCAGGAGAGGUAAGCGGAAUUCCUAGUGUAGCGGUGAAAUGCGUAGAUAUUAGGAGGAACACCAGUGGCGAAGGCGGCUUACUGGACUGUAACUGACGUUGAGGCUCGAAAGCGUGGGGAGCAAACAGG